GCCGGGGUCCCUUAGUCCGGUAGAGGGCCGGCCUGGAGAGCCGGUGGCCCUUUGGGCCGCGUGGGUUCAAAUCCCACCCCCGGCG
RNAcentral lists this transfer RNA (85 nucleotides) under Candidatus Caldarchaeum subterraneum. RNAcentral's name for it is "tRNA-Ser". It matches the Rfam family "tRNA". From Rfam's summary of the family: Transfer RNA (tRNA) molecules are approximately 80 nucleotides in length. Their secondary structure includes four short double-helical elements and three loops (D, anti-codon, and T loops). Lineage: Archaea; Thermoproteati; Nitrososphaerota; Candidatus Caldarchaeales; Candidatus Caldarchaeaceae. The record is from RNAcentral.